This 465-nucleotide ribosomal RNA is filed under the name uncultured bacterium. RNAcentral's name for it is "partial 16S ribosomal RNA". It matches the Rfam family "Bacterial small subunit ribosomal RNA", at positions 338 to 795 of the family's 1533-position model. The record is from RNAcentral.
CCUACGGGUGGCAGCAGUAGGGAAUCUUCCACAAUGGGCGAAAGCCUGAUGGAGCAACGCCGCGUGGGUGAAGAAGGUCUUCGGAUCGUAAAACCCUGUUGUUAGAGAAGAAAGUGCGUGAGAGUAACUGUUCACGUUUCGACGGUAUCUAACCAGAAAGCCACGGCUAAAUACGUGCCAGCAGCCGCGGUAAUACGUAGGUGGCAAGCGUUAUCCGGAUUUAUUGGGCGUAAAGGGAACGAAGGCGGUCUUUUAAGUCUGAUGGGAAAGCCUUGGGCUUAACCGGAGUAGUGCAUUGGAAACUGGGAGACUUGAGUGCAGAAGAGGAGAGUGGAACUCCAUGUGUAGCGGUGAAAUGCGUAGAUAUAUGGAGGAACACCAGUGGCGAAAGCGGCUCUCUGGUCUGUAACUGACGCUGAGGUGCGAAAGCGUGGGUAGCGAACAGGAUUAGAUACCCCAGUAGUC